UACGGAGGGUCGGAUCGUUAAUCGGACUUACUGGGCCUAAAGCGCGCGUAGGUGGCUCGAUAAGCCGGUUGCGACAGCCCCGGGCUCAACCUGGGAACGGCAUCCGGUACUGUCAGGCUAGAGUGCAGGAGAGGAAGGUAGAAUUCCCGGUGUAGCGGUGAAAUGCGUAGAGAUCGGGAGGAAUACCAGUGGCGAAGGCGGCCUUCUGGACUGACACUGACACUGAGGUGCGAAAGCGUGGGUAGCAAACAGG
RNAcentral lists this unclassified non-coding RNA (253 nucleotides) under uncultured Halomonadaceae bacterium. RNAcentral describes it as "contains 16S-23S intergenic spacer region". It matches the Rfam family "Bacterial small subunit ribosomal RNA", at positions 524 to 776 of the family's 1533-position model. The record is from RNAcentral. Lineage: Bacteria; Pseudomonadati; Pseudomonadota; Gammaproteobacteria; Oceanospirillales; Halomonadaceae.